CCUACGGGAGGCAGCAGGGGGGAAUCUUAGACAAUGGGGGAAACCCUGAUCUAGCCAUGCCGCGUGAGCGGUGAAGGCCUUAGGGUCGUAAAGCUCUUUCGCCAGGGAUGAUAAUGACAGUACCUGGUAAAGAAACCCCGGCUAACUCCGUGCCAGCAGCCGCGGUAAUACGGAGGGGGUUAGCGUUGUUCGGAAUUACUGGGCGUAAGGCGCGCGUAGGCGGACUAUUAAGUCGGGGGUGAAAUCCCGGGGCUCAACCCCGGAACUGCCUUUGAUACUGGUAGUCUAGAGUUCGAGAGAGGUGAGUGGAAUUCCGAGUGUAGAGGUGAAAUUCGUAGAUAUUCGGAGGAACACCAGUGGCGAAGGCGGCUCACUGGCUCGAUACUGACGCUGAGGUGCGAAAGUGUGGGGAGCAAACAGGAUUAGAUACCCUGGUAGUCCACACCGUAAACGAUGAAUGCCAGUCGUCGGGUAGCAUGCUAUUCGGUGACACACCUAACGGAUUAAGCAUUCCGCCUGGGGAGUACGGUCGCAAGAUUAAAACUCAAAGGAAGUGACGG
This 560-nucleotide ribosomal RNA is filed under the name uncultured bacterium. Its description in RNAcentral is "bacterial SSU rRNA". It matches the Rfam family "Bacterial small subunit ribosomal RNA", at positions 338 to 916 of the family's 1533-position model. The record is from RNAcentral.